UCUGGAAACCAGCCUGAACACUCCUGUAUCACCUGAUUUCAGAAGCUAAGCAGGAUUGGGCGUGGUUAACACUUGGAUGGGAGACCAUGGAAGACUAUCGGGAACACCAGAG
Molecule: ribosomal RNA, 112 nt
Filed under: Pogona vitticeps (central bearded dragon)
Lineage: Eukaryota; Metazoa; Chordata; Lepidosauria; Squamata; Agamidae
Source: RNAcentral